CUUACCAUCUUUUUUUGCUUUUGAAAGAGGAUCUUACCUGCCCCCCCCUUGCACAAGCCUCACAAAUUUUAUCUUCCUUGAACUUAAUGUUAGGCAGUACUAUCAUUCCCCCUUGCACAAGCCUCAAAUUUUAUCUUCCUUGAAGUAAUUGUUAGGCAGUACUAUCACCAUGUCCUUGGAGACUAGUUUGUUGAGUUGACUUAGACUGGCAUGUCCAAGUCUCUUGUGCCAAAAGAGGGGAUCAUUAUCCACGACACUUAAGCAAGUGAGUUCAUCUUCUAAACAUGUGGAAAAAUAUACAACGUAUAUAUUUUUUUUCCCUGCAAAAUAAUCUUGUCGGUGGUAAGAUUAAUCACAAAACAUUUGGUAGAGGGGAAUGCUACCAAGUUACCUUUAUCACACAAUUGUGAUUGUCUUAUUAUGCAGUAUUUUAGGCCAUCUAUCAGUUAGACAUUCUCAAUAAAGUGAGAAUCAGUCUUACCUACCUUUCCAACUCCAAUGAUCUCACUUUUCUUCCUAUUUCCAAAGG
This 529-nucleotide long non-coding RNA is filed under the name Nicotiana benthamiana. Its description in RNAcentral is "long non-coding RNA (NBEN_LNC011099)". The record is from RNAcentral. Lineage: Eukaryota; Viridiplantae; Streptophyta; Magnoliopsida; Solanales; Solanaceae.